GAGCGCCGUAUGAGGUGAAAGUCUCACGUACGGUGUGGACCGGGGGAAAAGUCAAUCUUAACAGGUAGUGCUGAAGAAUUGGCUUACCUAUCGGUAU
RNAcentral lists this non-coding RNA (97 nucleotides) under Cytobacillus firmus. The record is from RNAcentral. Lineage: Bacteria; Bacillati; Bacillota; Bacilli; Caryophanales; Bacillaceae. RNAcentral also lists the same sequence under 1 other name.